CCCCUAUUUUUAGAACAUUCUUUACUCAGUGUUCAGCUUAAAAGAACUGUCACCAAAACUCCUUUGUAUUUUCUGUUUUCUUUCAGUUGUAUUGAGAUACAAUUGACCUACAGCCCUAAAUAACUUUAAAGCACACGGCAUAGUGACUUGACCUACAUAUAUAUUGUGAAAUGAUCACCGGAGUAAGUUUAGCAUCCAUUGUUUCACAGAGAUACGGAGAAGAGAGAGACAAUGUUUUUUCCCUGUGACGAGAACUUUUAGGAUCUACUCUCUUAGCGAACCUUCAAAUACGUCGUACAGCUGCAUCAGCCUGGUCCUCACGUUGCGUAUCACACGCCCAGGACUUACUUAUCUUCAGGCUGGGUGCUCCCACCUUCGACCACCUUCCUCCAAUCUCCCCACCCCCCACCCCCUGCCUCUGGUAACCACACAUUUGAUCCCUGUUUCAUGAGUCUGGCUUUUUGUCUUAGAUCCACACGUAAGUGAGAUCACACGGUAUUUAUCUUUCUCAGCCUGACGCAUUUCACUCAGCAUGAUGCCCUCAAGGUCCGUCCGUGUUGUCACAGAUGACAGGAUUUCCUUCUUUUCCGUGGCCGAAGAGUAUUCGACUGUAUACCCACCACACGUCCUGUAUCCACUCACCCGUCGGUGGACGUUUAGUUUGUUUCCAUGGUUUGGCUAUUGUGGAUAAGGCUGCUAUGAACGUGGGGGGGACGCAGAUACCUCCUUGACAUUGUGAUUUCUUUUCCUUCAGAUACACGCUGCAUAUAUAUUCGGAUACGUGCUAAAUCAUGUGGUGGUUCUCAUCCACUCAGUGCUGGAGGCUGAAAGCCCUCCUCUGAGACUGGGAACCAGACAAGGCAUCCAAUCCAGCCUCACUGCCCCUAUUCGACAUGGUCCUGCAACUCCUCAUCAGAGCAAUCAAGCAAGAAAAAAUAUAAAAGCACCAGCAUUGGAAAGGAAGAAAUAAGAUUAUCUCUGUUUGCAAGGGACAUGGUUUUAUAGGUAGAAAAUCCUAAGGAGGCCACCCAAACUUGCGAGGUCAAACCAACUAAGUCAGCAAAGUCGCAAACACAGAAUUAACCAUCUUUAAACGUGCAGUUCGGCAAAUUACACACACGCAUAACCUCCUGCUGUCAACUCCGCCCUCCAUCUCCAGAACUGUCUCAUCCUCCCAAAUGGAAACUGUCCCGGUGAAACAGUAACUCCCUCUUCCCCCUCCCCCCCGCCCCUGCCAUCCACGCUUCCGUUGUUGUCCUACGAGUCUGACCCUUCGGGGGACCUCACCGAAGCCGGACUCAGACAGCGUUUGCGAGGCUUCUGUUUUUACCUCUGUUGAGUUCUUGUUGCUUAUCUCAUACCACGUCCUCAAGGUUCCUCCUUGCUCUGGCAAGUUCAAAAUGUCCUCCCUUGUUAAGGUGGGAAAUUUCCCGCUGUUUGGCUAAACCACGUUUUUCUGAUCUUCUUGUCUGUUGACGGAGGCCUGGGCUGCUUCUGCGUUUUAGCUGUUGUGACUAAUGUUGCAACGGACGUGGGUGUGCAGGUAUCUUUGAGCCCCCCCCCUUCAAGUCUUUUCUCUCUCGAUGUAUAUCCAGAAGUACAAAUGCUGGCUCAAAGGGUAAUUGUAUUUUUAAGUUGUUUGAGGAACCCGCAUACCGUUUCCCACGAGUGUGACAAUUUACGCUUUAUACAGUAGACUCACAGGUUGCAUUGUACAUUUUAUGUUCGCCCCGACAGUGCACGAGGGUUCCAAUUUCUCCACAUCCCUGCCAGCACUUAUUUUCUGGUUUUUGUUUUUGUUUGUAUUUUCAAAAUGCAGCGGGUGCGAGGUUGUAUCCUGUUUUGGCUUGGCUUUCCCUACUGAUGAGUGACAUCAUGCAUGGAUUCUUCUGAGAAAUGUCCGUUCAAGUCCCUUACCCAUGUUUGAACCGGUCGGAAGAGCGUCG
Herpailurus yagouaroundi (jaguarundi) is the source of this 1946-nucleotide long non-coding RNA. RefSeq lists it as uncharacterized. NCBI's taxonomy places the organism in Eukaryota, Metazoa, Chordata, Mammalia, Carnivora, Felidae. The transcript has 3 exons. The record is from RefSeq and is a predicted model, not a curated record.